GAUGAACGCUGGCGGCGUGCCUAAUACAUGCAAGUCGAGCGAACGGACGAGAAGCUUGCUUUUCUGAUGUUAGCGGCGGACGGGUGAGUAACACGUGGAUAACCUACCUAUAAGACUGGGAUAACUUCGGGAAACCGGAGCUAAUACCGGAUAAUCUUUUGAACCGCAUGGUUCAAAAGUGGAAGACGGUCUUGCUGUCACUUAUAGAUGGAUCCGCGCUGCAUUAGCUAGUUGGUAAGGUAACGGCUUACCAAGGCAACGAUGCAUAGCCGACCUGAGAGGGUGAUCGGCCGCACUGGAGCGGAGACACGGUCCAGACGCCUACGGGAGGCAGCAGUAGGGAAUCUUCCGCAAUGGGCGAAAGCCUGACGGAGCAACGCCGCGUGAGUGAUGAAGGUCUUCGGAUCGUAAAACUCUGUUAUUAGGGAAGAACAUAUGUGUAAGUAACUGUGCACAUCUUGACGGUACCUAAUCAGAAAGCCACGGCUAACUACGUG
RNAcentral lists this ribosomal RNA (497 nucleotides) under uncultured bacterium. RNAcentral describes it as "partial 16S ribosomal RNA". It matches the Rfam family "Bacterial small subunit ribosomal RNA", at positions 28 to 507 of the family's 1533-position model. The record is from RNAcentral.